This 253-nucleotide ribosomal RNA is filed under the name uncultured bacterium. RNAcentral's name for it is "partial 16S ribosomal RNA". It matches the Rfam family "Bacterial small subunit ribosomal RNA", at positions 524 to 776 of the family's 1533-position model. The record is from RNAcentral.
UACGUAGGGUGCGAGCGUUAUUCGGAAUUACUGGGCGUAAAGCGUGCGCAGGCGGUUUUUUAAGUCAGCUGUGAAAUCCCCGGGCUCAACCUGGGAAUGGCAUUUGGGACUGCAAGGCUGGAGUGUGGCAGGGGAGACUGGAAUUCCUGGUGUAGCAGUGAAAUGCGUAGAUAUCAGGAGGAAUACCGAUGGCGAAGGCAGGUCUCUGGGCUGACACUGACGCUCAUGCGCGAAAGCGUGGGGAGCAAACAGG